UCCCUGGCGGUCCAGCAAUUAGGACUCUGCACUUAAACUGCUGAGGGCCUGAGUUCAAUCCCUGGUUGGGGAA
This 73-nucleotide transfer RNA is filed under the name Ovis aries (sheep). It matches the Rfam family "tRNA". Rfam says of the family: Transfer RNA (tRNA) molecules are approximately 80 nucleotides in length. Their secondary structure includes four short double-helical elements and three loops (D, anti-codon, and T loops). Lineage: Eukaryota; Metazoa; Chordata; Mammalia; Artiodactyla; Bovidae. The record is from Rfam by way of RNAcentral.